UGGCCACCGCCGCGAUGGCGGUGGCCGCGUCCGACGCCGACGACAUCCUGAUCCGUCAGGUGGUGCCAGAUGUUGGCGAAGCCGAAGAGGAGGACAACCUGCUGAACGCCGAGCACCACUUCGCGAGCUUCAAGGCCAAGUUCGCCAAGACCUACGCCACCAAGGAGGAGCACGAUCAUCGCUUCGGCGUCUUCAAGUCCAACCUCCGCAGAGCCAGGCUGCACGCCAAGCUCGACCCCUCCGCCGUCCACGGCGUCACCAAAUUCUCCGAUCUAACUCCGGCCGAGUUCCGCCGCCAGUUCCUCGGC
RNAcentral lists this long non-coding RNA (308 nucleotides) under Glycine max (soybean). Its description in RNAcentral is "long non-coding RNA (GMAX_LNC004003)". The record is from RNAcentral. Lineage: Eukaryota; Viridiplantae; Streptophyta; Magnoliopsida; Fabales; Fabaceae.